GACGAACGCUGGCGGCGUGCUUAACACAUGCAAGUCGAACGAAGAGCGAUGGAACCUUGCUUCCAUCAAUCUUCGUGGCGCACGGGUGAGUCACGCGAAAUCAACCUGCCCUUCAGUGGGGGACAAUAGUUGGAAACGACUGCUAAUCCCGCAAACGAUCCAAUCUCGGCAUCGGGACUGGAUGAAAGGUGGUCCCUAUUUAUAUGCUAUCAUUGACGGCGGAUAUUGCGUCUGAUUAGCUAGUUGGUGGGGUAACGGCCCACCAAGGCGAUGAUCAGUAGCCGGUCUGAGAGGAUGAACGGCCACAUUGGGACUGAGACACGGCCCAGACUCCUACGGGAGGCAGCAGUGGGGAAUCUUCCGCAAUGGACGAAAGUCUGACGGAGCAACGCCGCGUGAGUGAUGACGGCCUUCGGGUUGUAAAGCUCUGUUAAUCGGGACGAAUGGUUCUUGUGCGAAUAGUGCGAGGAUUUGACGGUACCGGAAUAGAAAGCCACGGCUAACUACGUG
RNAcentral lists this ribosomal RNA (510 nucleotides) under uncultured bacterium. Its description in RNAcentral is "partial 16S ribosomal RNA". It matches the Rfam family "Bacterial small subunit ribosomal RNA", at positions 28 to 507 of the family's 1533-position model. The record is from RNAcentral.